CUCAGGACUGAGAUAACCCCGGGAAACUGGGGCUAAUAUUAGAUAGAUAAAAGAUACUGGAAUGUUCUUUUAUCCAAAGCUUUUGCGCCUGAGGAUGGGCCUGCGUCCGAUUAGGUUGUUGGUGGGGUAAUGGCCCACCAAGCCUGCGAUCGGUACGGGCAGUGGGAGCUGAAGCCCGGAGUUGGGGACUGAGACAAGGCCCCAGGCCCUACGGGGCGCAGCAGGCGCGAAACCUCUGCAAUGCGGGAAACCGUGACAGGGGGAUCCCAAGUGCUCAUGCAUUGCAUGGGCUGUUCUUUGGUCUAAGUAACCAGAGGAGUAAGGGCUGGGCAAGACCGGUGCCAGCCGCCGCGGUAAUACCGGCAGCUCAAGUGGUAGCCGCGAUUAUUGGGCCUAAAACGUUCGUAGCCGGAUAGGUAAGUCUUUGGUUAAAUCCUGCGACUCAACCGUGGGAAUUCUAGAGAUACUGCUUGUCUUGAGACCGGGAGAGGUUGGAGGUACUCCUAGGGUAGGGGUGAAAUCCUGUAAUCCUAGGGGGACCACCUGUGGCGAAGGCGUCCAACUGGAACGGGUCUGACGGUGAGGGACGAAACCUAGGGGAGCGAGCCGGAUUAGAUACCCGGGUAGUCCUAGGCGUAAAUGAUGCGAGUUAAGUGUGGGGGCAUCUACGAGAUGGCCCUGUGCUGUAGGGUGGCCGUUAAACUCGCUGCCUGGGGAGUACGGUCGCAAGGCUGAAACUUAAAGGAAUUGGCGGGGGAGCACCACAAGAGGUGGAGGCUGCGGUUCAAUUGGAGUCAACGCCGGG
Molecule: ribosomal RNA, 805 nt
Filed under: uncultured archaeon
Lineage: Archaea
Description: bacterial SSU rRNA
Rfam family: Archaeal small subunit ribosomal RNA
Source: RNAcentral